UGGAGGCCAGGGGUGGGUAAUGGCUUGGGCGCCUGGAGGCAGGUCUCUGAGAGGAAGCACUGGGGCAGUUGUCCAAGAGCGCAGGCUGUCUACAGGGUGCUUUCCGUGGGCUUGUUGAAGGCACUUAGCAACACAGAAAUAAGCCUAAACACUAUUUGAAAAACCCCCAAAUCUGUGACCCCUCCCUACCAGCUCCACUAGAGAGUUCCAUGGCCGUCACACAGGUCGGUACCCGUGCAGGGGCUCUGGGGUGGGUACAGUGUCUCUGCUCCUUCCAGGUUACUUCCAGAAACAGGCGCUUCCUCGUGAACAGCUGGAACUGUUCUCCAGUGCUGCAGGAAAAUGGCUCGCAGUAUUUUAUGGUUAUUAACCUCCUGUUAUUAAGUUCUCAAUACGGUGGUGCAGCCCGGGCUGUGAUUUCUUACUUGUGAAUAUUAAGUGUUGUUCUUAUUGAGAACAUAACUUUCCUUUUAUGAACAGGAUGAAGUCUCACGUCUUGAGCAGCUGGGGUGAGAGUGGCAUUCGGGGGCCUCUGCAUGACGGCAUGACUGGUGACAUAUGGAGGGGUGGGGGCCUCUAGGAGGCCGGCCAUCCACAGGGCUGCCGGGGCUCCCUUGAGGUGGAUGCGGUGAGGCGCGAACGGAGCGGGUAGAAAUGAGACGGCGCAAUGGCGGAAAGCAAAGCAGAAAUGGCGUGACAGCCACAUGUGCGGGGCCGGGGAAGUGGAGGCUGGCUGCUCCUCACGGGCACUCGGGUGAGGCUCUCUCCACCUCGCGCAGGGGCUACCCGCUCGCCGUGCUGAGCCCUUCCAGCUCUGCCACGCGCAGGAAGCCGGUGCGGUGACGGCAGCGCACGCUCCCAGGCACCUGCCUUUGCCCACGCCGGGGAGGCGCUUCCUGUGAGUCAGGACUCGGGGAUCGCGUGGGGGUGAACUGCCUGCGAAUGCUCCUGGGCAGGAGAGCCACUCCCAGUCC
RNAcentral lists this long non-coding RNA (974 nucleotides) under Homo sapiens (human). RNAcentral describes it as "HSALNT0170224". The record is from RNAcentral. Lineage: Eukaryota; Metazoa; Chordata; Mammalia; Primates; Hominidae.